This is a small nuclear RNA of Drosophila suzukii, 84 nucleotides long. RefSeq annotates it as U1 spliceosomal RNA. Lineage: Eukaryota; Metazoa; Arthropoda; Insecta; Diptera; Drosophilidae. The record is from RefSeq and is a predicted model, not a curated record.
AUACUUACCUGCGAUUAUUCCUAAUGUGAAUAACUCGUGCGUGUUAUUUUUGGUAGCCGGGAAUGGCGUUCGCGCCGUCCCGAC